UGGCGGACGGGUGAGUAAUGUCUGGGAAACUGCCUGAUGGAGGGGGAUAACUACUGGAAACGGUAGCUAAUACCGCAUAACGUCGCAAGACCAAAGAGGGGGACCUUCGGGCCUCUUGCCAUCGGAUGUGCCCAGAUGGGAUUAGCUAGUAGGUGGGGUAAAGGCUCACCUAGGCGACGAUCCCUAGCUGGUCUGAGAGGAUGACCAGCCACACUGGAACUGAGGCACGGUCCAG
This 235-nucleotide ribosomal RNA is filed under the name uncultured bacterium. Its description in RNAcentral is "partial 16S ribosomal RNA". It matches the Rfam family "Bacterial small subunit ribosomal RNA", at positions 96 to 334 of the family's 1533-position model. The record is from RNAcentral.